UCACGCCAGUGGCAUCGCCGAGUAGCUAAGUGCGGAAGAGAUAACCGCUGAAAGCAUCUAAGCGGGAAACUCGUCUCAAGAUGAGUCUUGCCGGGGCCUUGAGCCCCCUGAAGGGUCGUUGUAGACCACGACGUUGAUAGGUUGGGUGUGGAAGCGCAGUAAUGCGUUAAGCUAACCAAUACUAAUUGCCCGUGAGGCUUGACCCUAUAACUUUGAUGG
Molecule: ribosomal RNA, 219 nt
Filed under: Caulobacteraceae bacterium
Lineage: Bacteria; Pseudomonadati; Pseudomonadota; Alphaproteobacteria; Caulobacterales; Caulobacteraceae
Description: partial 23S ribosomal RNA
Rfam family: Bacterial large subunit ribosomal RNA
Source: RNAcentral